UACAGAGGUCCCUAGCGUUGUUCGGAUUUACUGGGCGUAAAGGGCGCGUAGGCGGCGCGGUGUGUGAGAUGUGAAAUCUCCGGGCUCAACCCGGAAAGUGCGUCUCAAACUGCCGCGCUGGAGUACGGGAGAGGGAGUCGGAAUGCAGGGUGUAGCGGUGAAAUGCGUUGAUAUCCUGCAGAACACCGGAGGCGAAGGCGGACUCCUGGAACGUUACUGACGCUGAGGCGCGAAAGUCGGGGGAGCAAAC
Molecule: ribosomal RNA, 250 nt
Filed under: uncultured prokaryote
Description: partial 16S ribosomal RNA
Rfam family: Bacterial small subunit ribosomal RNA
Source: RNAcentral